UCUCCGUUGGUGAACCAGCGGAGGGAUCAUUACCGAGUUUACAACUCCCAAACCCCUAUGUGAACGUUACCAAACUGUUGCCUCGGCGGGAAAUUCAUGCCCCGGGCGCGUCGCAGCCCCGGACCAAGGCGCCCGCCGGAGGACCAACCAAAACUCUUUUGUAUGUCCCUCGCGGACUUUUAUAAUUCUGAACCAUCUCGGCGCCCCUAGCGGGCGUUUCGAAAAUGAAUCAAGACUUUCAACAACGGAUCUCUUGGUUCU
Molecule: unclassified non-coding RNA, 261 nt
Filed under: plant metagenome
Description: partial contains small subunit ribosomal RNA, internal transcribed spacer 1, and 5.8S ribosomal RNA
Source: RNAcentral